CCUACGGUGGCUGCAGUGGGGAAUAUUGGACAAUGGGCGAAAGCCUGAUCCAGCCAUGCCGCGUGUGUGAAGAAGGCCUUCGGGUUGUAAAGCACUUUCAGUGGGGAAGAAAGCCUUGGGGCUAAUACCCUCGAGGAAGGACAUCACCCACAGAAGAAGCACCGGCUAACUCCGUGCCAGCAGCCGCGGUAAUACGGAGGGUGCGAGCGUUAAUCGGAAUUACUGGGCGUAAAGCGCGCGUAGGCGGUCUGAUAAGCCGGUUGUGAAAGCCCCGGGCUCAACCUGGGAACGGCAUCCGGAACUGUCAGGCUAGAGUGCAGGAGAGGAAGGUAGAAUUCCCGGUGUAGCGGCGAAAUGCGUAGAGAUCGGGAGGAAUACCAGUGGCGAAGGCGGCCAUCUGGACUGACACUGACGCUGAGGUGCGAAAGCGUGGGUAGCAAACAGGAUUAGAUACCCGAGUAGUC
This 464-nucleotide ribosomal RNA is filed under the name Vreelandella stevensii. Its description in RNAcentral is "partial 16S ribosomal RNA". It matches the Rfam family "Bacterial small subunit ribosomal RNA", at positions 338 to 795 of the family's 1533-position model. Lineage: Bacteria; Pseudomonadati; Pseudomonadota; Gammaproteobacteria; Oceanospirillales; Halomonadaceae. The record is from RNAcentral.